GCGGCAAAAGCUCAAAUUUGAAAUCUGGCACUUUCAGUGUCCGAGUUGUAAUUUGAAGAAGGUAUCUUUGGGUCUGGCUCUUGUCUAUGUUUCUUGGAACAGAACGUCACAGAGGGUGAGAAUCCCGUGCGAUGAGAUGACCCAGACCUAUGUAAAGUUCCUUCGAAGAGUCGAGUUGUUUGGGAAUGCAGCUCUAAGUGGGUGGUAAAUUCCAUCUAAAGCUAAAUAUUGGCGAGAGACCGAUAGCGAACAAGUACAGUGAUGGAAAGAUGAAAAGAACUUUGAAAAGAGAGUGAAAAAGUACGUGAAAUUGUUGAAAGGGAAGGGCUUGAGAUCAGACUUGGUAUUUUGUAUGUUACUCUUUCGGGGGUGGCCUCUACAGUUUACCGGGCCAGCAUCAGUUUGGGCGGUAGGAGAAUUGCAAAGAAAUGUGGCACUGCUUCGGUAGUGUGUUAUAGUCUUUGUCGAUACUGCCAGCCUAGACUGAGGACUGCGGCUUCGGCCUAGGAUGUUGGCAUAAUGAUCUUAAGUCGCCCGUCU
This 540-nucleotide ribosomal RNA is filed under the name Lodderomyces metapsilosis. RNAcentral describes it as "Candida metapsilosis partial large subunit ribosomal RNA". It matches the Rfam family "Eukaryotic large subunit ribosomal RNA", at positions 98 to 654 of the family's 3401-position model. The record is from RNAcentral. Lineage: Eukaryota; Fungi; Ascomycota; Pichiomycetes; Serinales; Debaryomycetaceae.